AUUUAUACUGUGAAACUGCGAAUGGCUCAUUAAAUCAGUUAUAGUUUAUUUGAUGAUACCUUUUUACUACUUGGAUAACCGUAGUAAUUCUAGAGCUAAUACAUGCUAAAAAACCCGACUUUUGCGGAAGGGUUGUAUUUAUUAGAUUCAAAAACCAAUGCAGAGGCAACCCCUCUGGACCAUUGAUGAUUCAUAAUAACUUCUCGAAUCGUAUGGCCCUUCGUGCCGACGAUGAUUCAUUCAAAUUUCUGCCCUAUCAACUUUCGAUGGUAGUGUAGUGGACUACCAUGGUAGUAACGGGUAACGGGGAAUUAGGGUUCUAUUCCGGAGAGGGAGCCUGAGAGAUGGCUACCACUUCCAAGGAAGGCAGCAGGCGCGCAAAUUACCCAAAUCCCAAUACGGGGAGGUAGUGACAAUAAAUAACAAUACGGGUCCUUUCAAAGGUCUCGUAAUUGGAAUGAGUACAAUUUAAACCCCUUAACGAGGAACAAUU
This 493-nucleotide ribosomal RNA is filed under the name uncultured eukaryote. Its description in RNAcentral is "bacterial SSU rRNA". It matches the Rfam family "Eukaryotic small subunit ribosomal RNA", at positions 72 to 549 of the family's 1831-position model. The record is from RNAcentral.